CUACCAGAAAUUUGCAAGGACUAGUAUAGAGUCCUGAAGUCCGAGACGCUGCGGGCCAAGGCUGCACGGAUCCGGUUCCUGAACCACUGAUUCCCGCGUGGCUGCACCUGCCCGAUUUAGGCCAGUUCUGGGAGGCUUGCUGUCCACGAACCAAUGCCAGGGAAGGGUGCCCCAGGAGUGUGUUUUUUUCAGCUGCUGCGCGGGGCACGAAAACUUCCUGGCGGGUAAAUACCGGGCGCUGGAUCCACGAGGAGACGGAGCGUUUUCUCUAUUUACGGGUGGGCGACACGUCCGUUUCCACCUUGUUGACUUUGCUCAAGCUUUCUGUCCGCUUGGAACAUCUUUCUUACCCGUAUCCUCCACGAGUGGAAAGCUGUUCUCCAAGGAAGAGCUCCUAGAUCGGCUAGCCGGAAGUCCCCUCUCUUCAGCCUCUGAACCUGCAGCUCGUGUUAGCAAAGGACACGCGUGUCACUUAUCACUUCCCACUUAAUUCUAGCUGUACGUGCCUGCCUGGUUGCCCCAGUUAGACUGUAAGCUCCAUGAGGGCAGGGUCCCAGGGUUGAUUUUGCCCUUGUAUCUCUGGCAGCAACCGCACAGAGCAGUAUGUAAAAGGAAGACAGAGUUGUGACUAAACUUUGGUAUUCGACAGCUCUUGCUUGGCCUCGUCAGUGUGUGUAUCUUGGGCAUUUCUAAGUCUCAGUUUCCUUGUCGAUAGAACGAAAGCAAUAAUACCUUUUUCAGGGUUGUUGCUAGGGUUGAAUGAGGCAAAACGGCCUCACGCGUGUUAAGCUCUCAGUACGUGUGAGCUACUGCUUUUCCGUAUGGGAGGUCAAGCAGUGUUUGUUGACUGCAUUGGUGGUGCGUGGCUGGAGUGUGGAACACACUGGGUGGCUUCAUACGGUUUUGAGAGCAGGAACUGUCCUCACAAGGGAGGGGACCCAGCCUUGGCGGCCUUCUUUUCCGCCUAUUGAAAUCAGGAGCCUGAGUCUAGGCCUUGACUCUCCGACAGGCUUUUAAAAUUUCUCUACCUAUACGCCUUCUGGCACCUUCAUGAGGCCCUGGUUGUUUUCUGGGGAAAUCUAUGCCGUCCCCAUAGAUUCUGGAAACUCUGCGCUGGUAGGGACCAUCUUCUUCCUGUGCAAUAGGCAUUCUCUCGCUGCUACCAGCCUAGCCCAGUGAGGAGCAGCGGGUGCCGCUUUGAGGGCCAUAGAAAGACCUGUGUGCAGCGCUGGCCUUGAAAACGUAGGGACCGGUUCCAGCUCAACCUUGGCUCUCCUUAUCCGGCCCCAGCUGCUCCAAGCAUUUUUUGGCAGUCAGGAUGAGGGAGCUGGAAGAGAGCCGUCUCAGCUGGAAGGGGCGGGUGAAAGGUGCAGGGAGGGUGGACAUUGCCUCCGAGCGGCGUAAGACACCGGCUGGGAGUGGGUACGAGGGUGAAGCGCUGCCACGCGGGGCCACAACGGCGACAGGAGUGGGUGCCCAAGGCUGAAGGGAGAAAGAACAGCCUGUCAGGAGGGGGGAGAGGCGGGGCUCUUCAGAAGGGAGCGGAAAUGUUGUGGAGAGGCAGCCCCUAGGUCCUCCGGGCAAGCUGGGAUGCCGCGCGGGCCACGUGCGCCCCGGAGUACUUAGGGUGGCCCACAGGCGGUGGGGAGAGACCCUCUGUGGGCAGGGUCUUGCGCCGGAACAGCCAUUCCUCAGCCACAGGGGCGCCCGGUGUCUUUCUGCUUUAAAUCCUGCAAGUAUUGACGCCCCAGGGGGAGGCCGGUGUCUGCAAACCAGGCGGUCUUAGAACUGCGAUCGGGACAAAGCGCCCCUCCAGCGCCUGAUGGUCGAUACACGCCCACAGGCGCGCUGCACCCGCCGGAGCCUGCCAGGGCCCCUCUAUCAGCUCACGCAGAGGGCCGUCUCCUUCCCACUAGCAGGCCCACGCAAGCCUCUCUACCCAAAAUUCCACCUCGGCAGCCCCGGGCUAGGUACCUUACACCAGGCCUAAGCGGUUGUCUCUUGAGGACCCUGGGCAGGUAGGCCACCAGGGCCUGUGAGGACUCCCAGCGUGGGGAACCCAGGAAAAGGGGUCUAGCGGGUGGCAUCUAGGCCUUAUCGCCCCUUCCUUUCCCCAUUUCCAGCCCAGCGCAGGGCUGAUCCAGCGUGCGGAAAACCUCUAUCCGCUACCGCAUCCCUAAGGUUGAUCUGAGUUUUAUGCCCAGAGCAGGGUUUUGGGUUGUCUCGGACUGCCCUCUCAGUGUUGUUCAGGCUUCCGUUAGUUGCUCUGGUUCCCCAGUGGCCGAGCUUCCCCACAGGAAUUCCCCCAAAGCCAAUCCCCAUCUAGGUGGCCUCCUUUUCGCUCGCAGGAAGCUGGUACUCGCGACGGCCGCGGGCCUGAAAGGAGGAGAACUCGAGAGCGGUAGUAGUACAGCAGCAGUCGCUCCGCAGGAGUCACUUAUCAGAGGGUGGGAUCUGGUUCCAACGCCUAUCCAGUUACGAUCGCCUUCUGGGGCAUUUGCAUUCUCUUGUUUGAAAAGGAGAUCUUUGAAAUCCUCGAGCUGUGCUCUACUAAUAAUAGGUUUUCGUUCCAGGCAGUUUAGCUAAUUACUAUCAGGUAAAGUAAGUGUGGUUGCAUCCAUGGAAGUGUUUGAUUUUAUUUUAAUCGAGUGUAUCUACCUUCCUACUCUUUCAUCACCUCAUACGUUUACACAAGCUCUCUCUCCCACCCUAUGAUUAAAGAUCAUCAGUAAAUGGUGGCAAAUUCCGUGAAGGGGAAGUGCUGUAUAGAUGCAUAAACGUUUGUAUCUUUUUUUUUUUUUUUUUUUUAAGAAAAACCACAUGCUAGCCAUUA
This is a long non-coding RNA of Sapajus apella (tufted capuchin), 2833 nucleotides long. RefSeq lists it as uncharacterized. The record is from RefSeq and is a predicted model, not a curated record. NCBI's taxonomy places the organism in Eukaryota, Metazoa, Chordata, Mammalia, Primates, Cebidae. The transcript is spliced from 2 exons.